This is a long non-coding RNA of Oncorhynchus tshawytscha (Chinook salmon), 734 nucleotides long. Lineage: Eukaryota; Metazoa; Chordata; Actinopteri; Salmoniformes; Salmonidae. The record is from Ensembl.
UGUGCGUGUAGUGGUGUGUGUGUGUAGGGGUGUGUGUAUGUGUAGUGGUGUGUGUGUGUGUAGUGGUGUGUGUGUGUAGGGGUGUGUGUGUGUGUGUGUAGUGGUGUGUGUGUGUAGUGGUGUGUGUGUGUAGUGGUGUGUGUGUGUAGGGGUGUGUGUGCAGCGGUGUGUGUGUAGUGGUGUAUGUGUAGUGGUGUGUGUAUGUGUAGUGGUGUGUGUGUGUGUAGUGGUGUAUGUGUAGUGGUGUGUGUAUGUGUAGUGGUGUGUGUAUGUGUAGUGGUGUGUGUAUGUGUAGUGGUUGGUGUAUGUGUAGUGGUGUAUGUGUAGUGGUGUGUGUGUGUAGUGGUGUGUGUAUGUGUAGUGGUGUGUGUAUGUGUAGUGGUGUGUGUGUGUAGUGGUGUAUGUGUAGUGGUGUGUGUAUGUGUAGUGGUGUAUGUGUGUAGGGGUGUGUGUAUGUGUAUAGAGGUGUGUGUAUGUAGUGGUGUAUGUGUAGUGGUGUGUGUGUAGGGGGUGUGUGUAUGUGUAGCGGUGUGUGUGUGUAGUGGUGUAUGUGUAGUGGUGUAUGUCUAGUGGUGUGUGUGUGUAGGGGUGUGUGUAUGUGUAGUGGUGUGUGUGUGUAGUGGUGUGUGUGUAUGUGUAGUGGUGUGUGUGUAGGGGUGUGUGUAUGUGUAGUGGUGUGUGUGUAGGGGUGGGUGUGUGUGUAGCGGUGUGUGUGUGUAGGGGUGUGUGUUUGU